Molecule: ribosomal RNA, 981 nt
Filed under: Nusuttodinium acidotum
Lineage: Eukaryota; Dinophyceae; Gymnodiniales; Gymnodiniaceae
Description: eukaryotic LSU rRNA
Rfam family: Eukaryotic large subunit ribosomal RNA
Source: RNAcentral
UAAGUAAGCGGAGGACAAGAAACUAAAUAGGAUUCCCUCAGUAAUGGCGAAUGAACAGGGAUGAGCUCACCAUGGAAAUUGUAGCUUCUGGCUAUGAAUUGUAAUUUCAAGAUGUAUCGCCAACUAGGGCGCAGGUGCAAGCCUCUUGGAAAAGAGCAUCAGUGAGGGUGAGAAUCCCGUUUGUCAUCUGUAGACCCUCGUGUUCGGCAUACGAUCUUAGAGUCACGUUCCUCGGGAUUGGAGCGCAAAGUGGGUGGUAAAUUUCAUCUCAAGCUAAAUAUGGGUUCGAAACCGAUAGCAAACAAGUACCAUGAGGGAAAGAUGAAAAGGACUUUGAAAAGAGAGUUAAAAGUGCCUGAACUUGCUGAAAGGAAAGCGGAUGGAACCACUCUUGCCUGGCGAGAUUGUUGCGUGCUCCAGUGAUUCAUUGCUGCGCGAGCGCAAGCAGCGCUGCGAUUUUUGAUCUGGUCGCGCGUGAUGCUUCUUGCCUUGUGCGUCACUAGCUGCGCGAUGGUGAGGAUACCUCUAGGGACAUGGUAGCGAGCCUUCGGGAGCGCGAAUGUGCUUAGUAGUGCUUGCCCUCGCGCGGUGCCUCUUUGCUUCAGAUUGCGUUGCGCUCGACGCGGUGUCGCAUGCAAGUGCGCGUCCGCUCGGGACACCUUUCUGGCGCUCCCUUAGUGGCGAAAUGGUUCCAUUCGACCCGUCUUGAAACACGGACCAAGGAGUCUAACAUAUGUGCGAGUUCUUGGGUGUCAAACCUACGUGCGCAAUGAAAGUGAGUACUGAGAUGUUAGCAUCAGCAGCCGACCGAUCGAUUGGGAGAGGUUUGAGCAUGAGCACAUCUGUUAGGACCCGAAAGAUGGUGAACUAUGCCUGAGAAGGGCAAAGUCUGGGGAAACUCAGAUGGAGGCUCGUAGCGGUACUGACGUGCAAAUCGUUCGUCAUACUUGGGUAUAGGGGCGAAAGACUAAUCGAACCAUC